GCACUGGUAAUUCAGUGAUAGAAUUCUCAUCUUCCAUAAAAGAGACCUGGGUUCGAUUCCCGGUCAAUGUA
This 71-nucleotide transfer RNA is filed under the name Loxodonta africana (African savanna elephant). It matches the Rfam family "tRNA". Rfam says of the family: Transfer RNA (tRNA) molecules are approximately 80 nucleotides in length. The record is from Rfam by way of RNAcentral. Lineage: Eukaryota; Metazoa; Chordata; Mammalia; Proboscidea; Elephantidae.